GAUGAACGCUGGCGGCGUGCCUAAUACAUGCCAGUCGAGCGAACGGACGAGAAGCUUGCUUCUCUGAUGUUAGCGGCGGACGGGUGAGUAACACGUGGAUAACCUACCUAUAAGACUGGGAUAACUUCGGGAAACCGUAGCUAAUACCGGAUAAUAUUUUGAACCGCAUGGUUCAAAAGUGAAAGACGGUCUUGCUGUCACUUAUAGAUGGAUCCGCACUGCAUUAGCUAGUUGGUAAGGUAACGGCUUACCAAGGCAACGAUGCAUAGCCGACCUGAGAGGGUGAUCGGCCACACUGGAACUGAGACACGGUCCAGACUCCUACGGGAGGCAGCAGUAGGGAAUCUUCCGCAAUGGGCGAAAGCCUGACGGAGCAACGCCGCGUGAGUGAUGAAGGUCUUCGGAUCGUAAAACUCUGUUAUUAGGGAAGAACAUAUGUGUAAGUAACUGUGCACAUCUUGACGGUACCUAAUCAGAAAGCCACGGCUAACUACGUG
RNAcentral lists this ribosomal RNA (497 nucleotides) under uncultured bacterium. RNAcentral describes it as "partial 16S ribosomal RNA". It matches the Rfam family "Bacterial small subunit ribosomal RNA", at positions 28 to 507 of the family's 1533-position model. The record is from RNAcentral.